CCCUUAGAUGUUCUGGGCCGCACGCGUGCUACACUGAUGCAUUCAACGAGUCUAAAACCUGCUCUGAUAGGGGUGGGUAAUCUUUUGAAUGUGCAUCGUGAUUGGGAUAGAUGAUUGCAAUUUUUCAUCUUCAACGAGGAAUGCCUAGUAAACGCAAGUCAUCAGCUUGCAUUGAUUACGUCCCUGCCCUUUGUACACACCGCCCGUCGCUCCUACCGAUUGAAUGAUCCGAUGAAUAUCAUGGAUUGAGGAUUAUAGCAGGUUCGCCUGUCUUGAUCUUCGAGAAGUGAAGUAAAUCUUAUCAUUUAGAGGAAGGAGAAGUCGUAACA
This 329-nucleotide ribosomal RNA is filed under the name uncultured eukaryote. RNAcentral describes it as "partial 18S ribosomal RNA". It matches the Rfam family "Eukaryotic small subunit ribosomal RNA", at positions 1470 to 1796 of the family's 1831-position model. The record is from RNAcentral.